UACGUAGGGGGCGAGCGUUGUCCGGAUUUAUUGGGCGUAAAGAGCUCGUAGGCGGUUUGGUUAGUCGGAUGUGAAAUCUCCAGGCUCAACUUGGAGGGGUCAUCCGAUACUGCCAUGACUAGAGUUCGGUAGAGGAGUGUGGAAUUCCUGGUGGAGCGGUGAAAUGCGCAGAGAUCAGGAGGAACACCCGUAGCGAAGGCGGCACUCUGGGCCGAUACUGACGCUGAGGAGCGAAAGCGUGGGGAGCGAACAGG
This 254-nucleotide ribosomal RNA is filed under the name uncultured bacterium. RNAcentral describes it as "partial 16S ribosomal RNA". It matches the Rfam family "Bacterial small subunit ribosomal RNA", at positions 524 to 776 of the family's 1533-position model. The record is from RNAcentral.